CAGUAGCCGCGGUAAUACGAAGGGUGCAAGCGUUACUCGGAAUUACUGGGCGUAAAGCGUGCGUAGGUGGUGGUUUAAGUCCGUUGUGAAAGCCCUGGGCUCAACCUGGGAAUUGCAGUGGAUACUGGGUCACUAGAGUGUGGUAGAGGAUAGUGGAAUUUCCGGUGUAGCAGUGAAAUGCGUAGAGAUCGGAAGGAACAUCUGUGGCGAAGGCGGCCAUCUGGGACAACACUGACGCUGAGGCACGAAAGCGUGGGGAGCAAACAGGAUUAGAUACCCGCGUAGUCCCUGUCUCUUAUAC
This 301-nucleotide ribosomal RNA is filed under the name uncultured bacterium. Its description in RNAcentral is "partial 16S ribosomal RNA". It matches the Rfam family "Bacterial small subunit ribosomal RNA", at positions 509 to 807 of the family's 1533-position model. The record is from RNAcentral.